AAUCAACGCUGGCGGCGUGCCUCAGACAUGCAAGUCGAACGCGAAAUUUCCCUUCGGGGAGAAAGUAGAGUGGCGCACGGGUGAGUAACACGUAGGUAAUUUGCCUUUGGGUGGGGAAUAACUCAGGGAAACUUGAGCUAAUACCGCAUAAUGCAGCGGCUCGACAUCGAGACAGUUGUUAAAGCGGGGGAUCGCAAGACCUCGCGCCUAAAGNGAAGCCUGCGGCAGAUUAGCUAGUUGGUAAGGUAAUGGCUCACCAAGGCGACGAUCGGUAGCUGGUCUGAGAGGAUGAUCAGCCACACUGGGACUGAGACACGGCCCA
RNAcentral lists this ribosomal RNA (322 nucleotides) under uncultured bacterium. Its description in RNAcentral is "bacterial SSU rRNA". It matches the Rfam family "Bacterial small subunit ribosomal RNA", at positions 32 to 333 of the family's 1533-position model. The record is from RNAcentral.